The sequence is a ribosomal RNA, 67 nucleotides long. It matches the Rfam family "Bacterial small subunit ribosomal RNA", at positions 1 to 63 of the family's 1533-position model.
UUCAUUUACGGAGAGUUUGAUCCUGGCUCAGGACGAACGCUGGCGGCGUGCUUAACACAUGCAAGUC